This 701-nucleotide long non-coding RNA is filed under the name Meriones unguiculatus (Mongolian gerbil). RNAcentral describes it as "lncRNA (ENSMUGG00000001508.1)". Lineage: Eukaryota; Metazoa; Chordata; Mammalia; Rodentia; Muridae. The record is from RNAcentral.
GGGAGAACAACAGUGUUUGAGAAGGGUGCCCGUCUCGGGGCCUCAAAUUUGCCUCUUUUGAAUCAGCACUGUUGAGUUUUUCCUGUUCAAUGGAGCAUGGAGGACGGAAGAGCUUUAUAUCCAUGAAUCUACAGGGUGAGUAACCAUCUCCCGUCCCCUACAGGGCCAUCGUACUCAUUUCUUUGGUAAAUAUUAUUUUAGACAUUGCUCAAGCUAUAGGCUGCUGUUUUCUCUGGCUCCGCUACUCUGUUCAUCCACUCCACAAAAUGACUCACAGGUUUGACACAUGUUUUAUUGUUCGCUCUGUGCCAGAAACUUUGGAUGAGAAGGAACCAGCAACAGACACAGCAGACGUAAGCUCUUCCCUCCUGGAGAUGCUUCUCCGUGAGAGGAGACGGCGCAUAAAUAAAACACGUAGGACAGCUGAACCAGGUCACAGGCAGAGGGAGGUCAAAGAGCUUCCCAUGAUACCUCUGUCCCCCGAGUGUAAUACCACGACGGUCCCCAGCCACAGUGUCACUUGGAGUUCUCCCUACACAGAGCCAGAGAACUGGAGUAAUAGUAUUACGCUCUUUGUCUGAAAGCUGAAGACGGUAGCACACACCUGUAAUCUCAACGCUUGAGAGCCUUGGGAAAGAAGAUCAGAGUUACAGACCACCCUGGCUAUGGAGUGAGACUUCCUCUCAAAAAAAUAAAUAAAU